Long non-coding RNA from Prosopis cineraria, 444 nucleotides. RefSeq lists it as uncharacterized. Lineage: Eukaryota; Viridiplantae; Streptophyta; Magnoliopsida; Fabales; Fabaceae. The record is from RefSeq and is a predicted model, not a curated record. The transcript is spliced from 3 exons.
GUUUGCUCUUGUUCCUAAUUAAAUAGUUGCAAACUUUGACGGUCCCAUAGUCUCAUGCAAGAACUCUCGGAUGCAAGAAGAGACUUAACAGCGCUAUGUGUGCGCGCGCGCGCACGGGGGUGCAAGAAAGAUGCAUUGAAGCAGUAUUUCAAGAAAGAGCUUGCUCUUCUAGACCUUCUGAGUCCCCGCUGCCAAUCCAAGACGGUAAUUACUGAUUAGAACUUAUUAGUUGGGCCAUGCAUGUCGAAACUUGAUCUGGGCCUUACAGGCAUCGAAAGAUACAAUAUAUUCCAAAUGAUGAAAAAGAGACCGGGAAAACUUGGAUCGCGUCUAUCCAAGUUUUUGGUUUAUGCUCAGGAAUUUUUAUUUUUAUUUUUUGAAGGAUACGUUUUUACUGUUUUUUUUUUAAGUGUAUCGUUAAUGCAACUGAUCAGGCUGAUGAUG